GCAGGCAGCACCACAACAGGCACGCAAGUUAAUCUACUUCUUCUUCUAUAUCGAUUUGGUUAUUCAUUUGAUUUUGUUCAGAUUAGAAAAUUGAUUUGGUUCUUCAAUUGCAUUUUUAUUUUUUACUACUUAGACCCGUAUUUUUUUUGCCGAGAAAGGCAGGAGCUCUGCCAUGCAAUAUUAGAAGGGAGAAACCAAGUAUAUGUACAAUAGACUGAGGUCAAAAAACCACG
Molecule: long non-coding RNA, 233 nt
Filed under: Brachypodium distachyon (stiff brome)
Lineage: Eukaryota; Viridiplantae; Streptophyta; Magnoliopsida; Poales; Poaceae
Description: long non-coding RNA (BDIS_LNC002482)
Source: RNAcentral